This 119-nucleotide ribosomal RNA is filed under the name Mastacembelus armatus (zig-zag eel). The record is from RNAcentral. Lineage: Eukaryota; Metazoa; Chordata; Actinopteri; Synbranchiformes; Mastacembelidae.
GAUAGUGGUUGCACCCGAGUGUGAGUGCCUGAUGGUGUCCGAUCUCAGAAGCUAAGCAGGGCUGUGCCUGGUUAGUAUUUGGAUGGGAGACCAACUUGGAAAACCUGGGGCCACUAGCU